RNAcentral lists this unclassified non-coding RNA (572 nucleotides) under Hevea brasiliensis (rubber tree). Lineage: Eukaryota; Viridiplantae; Streptophyta; Magnoliopsida; Malpighiales; Euphorbiaceae. The record is from RNAcentral.
GGCAUAAAAUCAAAUACCCAAUCUGGGAUUGAAUCAGGAAUAACAUUGAACUUAUUUACUGCAGUGUGUGAGUACUCCUCAGUUUUAUAUCUGUAUAUAUCAUUUAGUUGUUGAAAGUCUAACCAGAAGUAACUUCGAAUGUGAUAGCUCAAAGCAUGCAAACGUUUCACAAUUCUCUCAAUACAUUCUUUUCCUUCUGUAUCAUGUUUCAACAUUGACAAGGCACACCUUAAUGCCAUAAAAAAAAGUGCUUGAAUUUCAAUAGGAUAACCGUAAAUGCCCAUUCUGCGAUCAAUCAUAGAGCAUCCAUCAGCACAAAGAAGGGUUGGGAAUGUAUCAAACCCCUCUGACAAGCACAGAGUCAAUAUAAGCCUCAUCCCCUUUUGACACUCUGGAGUCUCUGCCAGAGACAAAUCUCCAGUAGACUUGGUAUAUGCACGCAGCAGAAUGAUCCACCAGAAACCAGAGUCAACAGGAGCCACUCUUCCAAUUGCACUUUCACCAANNNNNNGAGUAUCUGUUUUCCGAACAGGAUCGUGAAGAACUUUAAAGCUAGCUGGCAUUACCCCUUC